Molecule: ribosomal RNA, 119 nt
Filed under: Pteropus alecto (black flying fox)
Lineage: Eukaryota; Metazoa; Chordata; Mammalia; Chiroptera; Pteropodidae
Source: RNAcentral
GUCUACGGCCAUGCCACCCUGAACGUGCCCGAUCCCGUCUGAUCUCGGAAGCUAAGCAGGGUCGGGCCUGGUUAGCACUUGGAUGGGAGACCACCUAGGAAGACCAGGUGCUGUAGGCG